Molecule: long non-coding RNA, 1930 nt
Organism: Acanthopagrus latus (yellowfin seabream)
Lineage: Eukaryota; Metazoa; Chordata; Actinopteri; Spariformes; Sparidae
Exons: 4
Source: RefSeq, a predicted model, not a curated record
CAGCCUGGUUGACAGAUCAACUCUGCGGGGCUUCGGCGAGCCAGCUAAAUAUGGUGAAGUUGCCUUUCUGACACCGACAGGAAGAGGUGGGCUCUGUGUCACCACACGUCAGAACCAUCAACUCCGCCUUCACCUAAAGAUGAUAGCGGGCACGGAAGGCCACGAGACGAGCAUAGUAGGCUGGCGCAGGGAUGGAGACUGAGCGGGUACAGCGCACGUACGUGUGGCACAACUGUCAGGAGGAUCAGACAGACCCACUCUCCUCUCCCAUCCUUUGCCGUGUGUGACUCAAACGUUUGUCAUAAUUGCUAGGCAACAACGCAGCCAACCACAGUCGAGCUGGGGUCAAGGGCGGACGGGGGUUGACGUCAUUUCCUUUUUGAACGCUCAUUUAUGGUGUAUCCAAGUCAGACUGACAACAGACGGGUUUCAUGAAACUGACUUUUAAAGCAGGGUGUGUCCGGGUCUUUGCCAUUGAUUUAUUGCAUCAGAAUAUGAACAAGUUGGUGCUGAUGAAAUGUUCUGAUCAGGCAAAAUACUUCAACAGUUCAUCAGGCUGAAUUGGUUGGUAAGUGUUAUUAACAGCUAGUGAUUACACAAGCUGUAAAUAAAUGCGGUGACUAAUAAAAAUGCCAAAAUGAAUUACAAGUGCGCAGAUACCCGAUACCAGAGCCAAUAGGUGAUCUCAUCCAUCCAGCAAACAUAAUACUAUUUCCCUGUUUCUGUUGCUAGAAUAGGAACAAUUAUAAUGGAUGCUCACAUAUGAGCAGCGUGCAUUGACAUUCACUCUACAGCAUUAUGUGUGUAAGUUUGAAGUGCUUCUGCCUCAAAUAUCUAUUUUUGGCUAUGGGAUUCUUCUCUCUUGGCAACAUUCAUGAACACUGUGACCUGGUGCCGCUGUCACUGAGCAACCACGACCGCGUGCGUCGGCUUGUCUAUGACAUCUCGAGGUCGUUUGCAUUACUUCCAUGCCCCUGUUGUUUUUUGAUUUGCCUAUAAAAAGGAGUGCUCCUGCCAUCACAGCACCUGGACGGCCAUCAGACACGUAUAUACUUUUAACAUUGUGUAACGAUAGACUUAUAAAUAGAUAACAGAAAAAGUUUUUUUAUGGCUUUGAAAAGGAUUUAAACAGGUAGACCAAGGUUGAAACGUUUGUGCUGGACACCUUCCAUUAUUCUUGGAGGCUACUAUUCCCCAGGUAAAGGUCUAAUCCACUUUUUUUCCCCCUUCUAGCCAUCUGUGUAUCAGAGCUGACACAGAACUGCUGUGUCCAACACAAACAGUAGCAGUGGACAGAAGCUGCCUCAUAUUCAUGCUGAUUAGAAGUAUAUAAAUGCAUUACUCUGACUUGUUGCUGUAUCUAUAUCAAUUGCAGCCAACUGACCUAAGCUGCUGUUCCUGUCAUAAACUCAUACUAUCGAUGCUGACUUGAGAAAAAUAAAUAACCCUGACUGUAUAGAUGUCUACGAUCCACUAGACAAUCAAUAUUUACCUCAAUAUAAUAUAAUAAGAGAUGAGAGUCUCCAAAUGUUAUAUUACGAUAUUGUCUCGCAAAAAUAUCUCGAUUCACAAUAUUAUUGUGGUUUGGGUUGGGGAACAUGUUUUUUAUUUAAUUUCAUUUGUAUUUCAUGUUGAUCAGUAGCAUGAAUGACUACAGGACUGACAGUUCCCUUUUGCUACAACACAAAUACAACCCUUUUGAAUAAUAAAAUAAUAACAAUUUAGACAAUAUUUGCACAAUGUAUUGGUGCAGCUAACACAUAUUCCCACUGUUUAAUCACCUGGAUUUUGUUUUGAUUGAGAGACAAAAGCGCUCCAGUGUCCCCCACGCAUCGACUCAUCCUGCACACCCCGACUUUGUUGCACAGGAACUGCACAUUCCCUUCCUUUUCCUGAGAUUGUGUUCAAGGUCAACUAGUGUUUUAUUAAU